Molecule: ribosomal RNA, 489 nt
Filed under: uncultured bacterium
Lineage: Bacteria
Description: partial 16S ribosomal RNA
Rfam family: Bacterial small subunit ribosomal RNA
Source: RNAcentral
GAUGAACGCUAGCGGCAGGCUUAAUACAUGCAAGUCGUGGGGCAGCAGGACUGUAGCAAUACAGUUGCUGGCGACCGGCAAACGGGUGCGGAACACGUACGCAACUUACCCUGAACUGGGGGAUAGCCCGGGGAAACCCGGAUUAAUACCCCGUAAUAUAAUGGAGUGGCAUCACUUUAUUAUUAAAGCUCCGGCGGUUCGGGCUGGGCGUUCGGCUGAUUAGGUAGUUGGUUGAGGUAACGGCUCACCAAGCCUACGAUCAGUAACUGGUGUGAGAGCACGACAAGUCACAGGGGAAAUGAGACACGGGCCCGACUCCUACGGGAGGCAGCAGUAAGGAAUAUUGGGCAAUGGAGGAGACUCUGACCCAGCCAUGCCGCGUGGAGGAUGAAGGCCCUCUGGGUUGUAAACUUCUUUUAUAGGGGACGAAACCUGUGUAUUCUUACGCAGUUGACGGUACCCUAGGAAUAAGCACCGGCUAACUCCGUG